This 253-nucleotide ribosomal RNA is filed under the name uncultured bacterium. Its description in RNAcentral is "partial 16S ribosomal RNA". It matches the Rfam family "Bacterial small subunit ribosomal RNA", at positions 524 to 776 of the family's 1533-position model. The record is from RNAcentral.
GACAGAGGGUGCAAACGUUGUUCGGAAUUACUGGGCGUAAAGCGCGUGUAGGCUGCUCGGAAAGUCGGAUGUGAAAGCCCUGGGCUCAACCUAGGAAGUGCAUUCGAAACUUCCGAGCUGGAGUGCUGGAGAGGAAGGCGGAAUUCUCGGUGUAGAGGUGAAAUUCGUAGAUAUCGAGAGGAACACCGGUGGCGAAGGCGGCCUUCUGGACCGACACUGACGCUGAGGCGCGAAAGCUAGGGGAGCAAACGGG